CGAUAAGAUGGAAACGGAUAGAGCCGACGUAUCUUGCCUGUAUUCAGCCGAAAGGUUGCUUCUCUAUGGCUUGUUGGUCCCGUUUUGGGCUAAUUGGCUUGUGUUGAGGUGAUCUGGCGGUGCAUUUACAGGUAGUGUGCGCUGAAUCUCACACUAUGCAGCAGUUGGAAAAGUGUUUUGAGGUCUCCUUUCACGAGGAGAAACCCUGAUGCUUGAAAGAUUGAUUGCUGUGUGCGUUCGAAGAGUAUGUUUGAUUGAAUCGCCAUUUGGUUUUUGUCUGAGUUUUGGUCGCAUGCGACCUUGCUUUGAUGGGCUCCAAUUGGUGGCUAGAUCCCGUAUUCGUAUUCAGUGUAAAAGUCGGUCUUCUCUCCGACCCGUCUUGAAACACGGACCAAGGAGUUUAGCAAGUAUGCGAGUCAUUGAGUGUAAAACUCAAAGGCAUAAUGAAAGUAAAGGCUUCGCUUGUCGAGCUUAUAUGUGAUCCAGCUAGCUUCGGCUGGUUGGAGCAACAUAGCCCCGUUUCAACUGCUUGCAGUGAGGCGGAGGAAGAGCAUACUUGCUGAGACCCGAAAGAUGGUGAACUAUGCCUGAGCAGGACGAAGCCAGAGGAAACUCUGGUGGAAGUCCGGAGCG
Molecule: ribosomal RNA, 633 nt
Filed under: Ditylenchus gilanicus
Lineage: Eukaryota; Metazoa; Nematoda; Chromadorea; Rhabditida; Anguinidae
Description: eukaryotic LSU rRNA
Rfam family: Eukaryotic large subunit ribosomal RNA
Source: RNAcentral